RNAcentral lists this ribosomal RNA (597 nucleotides) under bacterium enrichment culture clone MF14. Its description in RNAcentral is "bacterial SSU rRNA". It matches the Rfam family "Bacterial small subunit ribosomal RNA", at positions 324 to 916 of the family's 1533-position model. The record is from RNAcentral.
AAUUCGCCCUUACUCCUACGGGAGGCAGCAGCUAAGAAUAUUCCGCAAUGGACGAAAGUCUGACGGAGCGACGCCGCGUGGAUGAUGAAGGCCGAAAGGUUGUAAAGUCCUUUUGCUGGGGAAGAAUAAGUGUGGGAGGGAAUGCCCGCAUGAUGACAUGAACCGGCGAAUAAGCCCCGGCCAACUACGUGCCAGCAGCCGCGGUAACACGUAGGGGGCGAGCGUUGUUCGGAAUUACUGGGCGUAAAGGGCAUGUAGGCGGUCUGGUAAGCCUGGCGUGAAAGGCCACAGCUCAACUGUGGGAUUGCGUUGGGAACUGCUGGGCUUGAGUUAUGGAGAGGGAGCUAGAAUUCCUGGUGUAGGGGUGAAAUCUGUAGAUAUCAGGAAGAAUACCGAUGGCGAAGGCAAGCUCCUGGCCGAUGACUGACGCUGAGGUGCGAAAGUGUGGGGAUCAAACAGGAUUAGAUACCCUGGUAGUCCACACUGUAAACGAUGUGCACUAGGUGCUGGGGCGGUAGCUUCAGUGCCGGAGCGAACGUGGUAAGUGCACCGCCUGGGGAGUAUGCUCGCAAGGGUGAAACUCAAAGGAAUUGACGG